RNAcentral lists this long non-coding RNA (389 nucleotides) under Rattus norvegicus (Norway rat). RNAcentral's name for it is "long non-coding RNA NONRATT022750". The record is from RNAcentral. Lineage: Eukaryota; Metazoa; Chordata; Mammalia; Rodentia; Muridae.
CGCUUGAGCCCGAGAUGGCAGCCACCCUACUCAUGUCUGGGUCCCAGAUGAGACUUAAUGCCAUUGCCUUCUCGACAUUUCUAACCAUGUCUCUAAUUUCAAGAAGAAAAGCUGGUUCUAAACUCCUAGGUACCAAGUAGUGAGGAAGCAUUGUGUUGAUUUCAGGCCCCUGUGACAUUUGAAGAUAUGGCCAUGUUCCUCACUCGGGAAGAAUGGAGACCCCUGGAUCCUACACAAAGAGACCUUUACAGGGACGUGAUGCAGGAGAAUUAUGGAAAUGUCGUCUCACUGGAUUUUGAGAUCAGGAGCGAGAAUGAAGCAAACCCAAAACAAGAGUUUAGCGACGAUGUGGAAUUUGCGACCAUGUCGGAAGAGCCUCUGGAGAACGC